CUUGCCCCAGUCAGGAGCUUGGUGUUCUCUGCUCCAAGAUUUAGAGAAGAACCAGGAGCAUGCUAGUUUUCAAAUCUGCCUCUGCUGCUACCAGGUUGAGUGACGACAGGCACAGAACACAUAAGCCGCAGGUUGGAGCACAGAGCAUUCAAAGAAGGAAUGGGAAUCUUUGCAAAGAUUGCUGAGAUCCAAGGAGGGAAGCUACGUGAAAGAACAUUGUAAGCAGAAAAAUGCAACACCUCUGCCAUCAGCCCUCAUCAGCCCCCAGGCUGCCGACAGCACCGAGAGGGAAUGAGUCAGUGUUCUUGAGGCCUCUGGGAUGUCUGGUUUCGGGUUUGAUCACAUAUACGUACACAUCGAAUCCCCCCUUCAUUUCUAUCUCUUCUUCUAAUAUUUUCUAUUUGCCUUCUAAUCAACUGAACCCUUUGAUCACUAUUUUGCCUUCUUGUCAAACAGAUCUCUGGUACUUAUUUAUUUGCAAACUGGUUUUACAACUUAAAUUGCUCCUGCAUAAAGUACAAGCAUGUCAACGGAAGCCAGGGGGAGGGGAUUCACCUGGGAAGUGUCGGCAGAUGCAAGACUGGUCUCUGAAAGCAGCAAGUUUUCCUGAAAUAAAUAUUCUUUUGGGACUUGAUUCUCUAUUUCGGGCAGGGCAAGGAGCAUCACGGUGUGAAAGGUAACGUCAUUAGCGAUACACUAAUAAGAAUUUCCUAGUUAAUCCAGAGGAUGACUAUUCCUAAAGUGGUGUGGUCCCCAUUUGUCUCAAGGUUAUGAGGCCACGGAGUUCAUCCUUCUCUCUUUACAUGACCUCAUACUGAAGUUUGAGGUGGCUAUUUGUGGACAAUAAAAAUACACGUUGCUUCCACCAUGAAACUGCUCCUGCCACAUGUAAACGAGGAGCUUUCCCUUCAAACUACACCUCCUCUGUUUCCCAAUCUGAGUAGAUGCCUUGCGGACCCACUUGCCACAGGUCCAAGCAGGUGGAUCGUCUGAGAGGGAAAGUGAGAAAGACAAAGCUUGGCACAGAUUCUUCCUUCUGGGCAGGACACACACUGGGAGAUCAACCUGUUACAGAGAUGAAUUCUAGAAGUGCACCCAGGCAGGGAAAUGGUGGUCUCCAAAGGAUGUAAACACGUGGGGAGUUUAACAACGUCACGGGCAUCUGUACCCAACAUGGGACUCCCUAGGAGUGGGGCGCUCAGUGCUGAGCAGCCAAAAAGAAGGGGUCUUUCCCAGCACGGCCAGCCACUUGUGGUAGCCAUCCUGUUUUCCUCCAUUCUCACCCACUAGGCACAUCCUCCUGGCCCCUUCAGGUAUAUACGGCCUUCCCCUCUCUACUCCCAGUUUCCCUGGGAAGAUGAUUGCAUCAGUUAUACCUCAAAUUUAAACAGCAUGUGAAAUCUCAGAAGAUCUUUAGUGAUCAUGAAGUUUCAUGUUCUCAUUUUAUGAGGCUCCAGCUGUGGAGGCGAGGACCCUGACAGGCAGAGCACAGCCCAGAGAGGCAGUCACCAAAUCAACUUCUUGUCAGGCUUGUUUCCUAUACUUCCUCUCUCCACUCAAAAUGUAAGCCUUUGUAUGCCAGAGAGGGAAAAUUGGGGGAAAGGAAGUACAAAGCCUUCCAAGGUCUCCCUAAAACAACCCUUGUCAUCACCAAAGGCCAAAGGCAAUGUCCAUGCAGUUAAGUCAAUGAUUCCAAAUGACAUUCACUAGGAGGGUUUUCAAAACUGCAUCAUAAAGCCAGGAAAUUGCCACUUCUCUACACUCAGGGUCACAGAGGAAAUCCUGAGAGGGCUCUGGCUAAAGUGGUAUGUGGUUUGCAUCUCAGGCCUUUCUUCCACCUGUCACUCACAACUCAGACAUGGUGGCAUGGGCCCCACUGGUGAGAACAAGUGUCUUGGAGCUCAGGAUCUAGGCUUGAUAAUGAGACACUCAGCUCCUUGAGGAAGGCACUUACUUCUGCCUUCCUUGUCCUUUCAUAAAAACCUGGCUAUCUUCAGUCUCCAGCUUCAGCCCUCAUCUGCCUCUGUCCCCAGGAAAGGCACAGAAUCUGCAUAGACACAGAUGAAAUAAACAAGACAUCACCCACCUUUAUCACCACAUCUCAGGCCCUUGCAUGUGCUGUUUCUCUACUAGGAAAUCCUUCCCAACACAUUCCUCAUCCCCUUCACCACUCUGCCUGGCCAAAUUCCCCCAUGUGUUGAAGGCUUUCCUGCCCUGAUUGCCAAGGAUGCCUUUGGAAGUCCCUCUUCCUACUUCUGCCACAGUAUGUGUGGGGUUGCCUCUCUGUACGAACACUGAUCUGUGAGUUCCUUUCACACAGGAAUGUGGUCUUACUCAUCAGAGUAAUGGGUGACUAUACUGAUAACCAUUAUUACUAUUAUGAAGAAGCAAAAAAAGGGAAAGGCGGGAAGAGAGGAAAUAAGUGAAAACAUCAAUGAGGAUGCCAUUGGUCCCUACAGAUGGCAGAGGCACCAGAGUUCACAGAGAAGAGGACAGAGAGGAGAGUCCGCAGACAGUGUCAGAGGUGUAGUAGCAAUGGCAUCCAGGCGAUGCCUUGCCAUCCUCAUAGUACAUGGUGACUCAUGGGACAGGAACGCCUUCCAUAGUCUAGUUUUGAAAUGUCUGCUCUCUGGAGAAGAAAAGACCUUUUGCCUUAGCCUCGGGAAGGAUAAGAAUGACUUGAAGCUACUGAUGCGGAUCCAGAGUUGAAGACAGAGCUUCGUUGUCCGGCCUGGAAUUGUAUCAUCAGCCCAUCUCCGAUCCUCUGUACAUCUGGGCUAUGUCCUCCCACAGAGGAGAUGGGAAAAAGAGGAAAAUGCAAGGAAAGCUUCUAAAGCAUCUUGGUGUAAAGACUUUACCUAGAGUCACAGCAGAGGAGAGACUCUAGGCCUCUCUGCUCCUAAACAAUGUUGGAAAAAAAGGCUUCAUUUCCCCUAAGUCUCCCCAGGAGUCAGCGUGAGUCAUUUCUUUUUGGAAACCUCCUCUACCAUUUAAACACACAAACCCUAACCCCGCCCUGUGCACUUUACAGCUACUGUAGGAUUACCUCUAAGCCAGUUCUCUCUUGGGGUGGUGUGGAAAUUGUCUUUUCUUAAACAUCCUCGGGGGGAUAAUGGGAGAUGGCUUUGCAUGAUCAGUACAGUCAGCAGUGAAUAAUUGCACAUGUGUUUGUGGUUUCCAAGCACUUUCGUAUCUUUUAUCUCAUUUAAGUUUCACAACAACAUAGUGAGAACUCUCAACCAGGGAUCUUGUCCAAGAUCAAAGAGCUAAUAAGACAAGGAAGCCUGACUCCGAAUCCCCAGGUGUCCACUCAAAUGCCCUGACAUGUUUUAACUCCUUAGGAAAUGCCUAAGUUGUCUGAGUAACCUGCUCUAAAAGAUACAUUCUGUCCUAAAGUUCAAAUGAUGGGGCCCUCGCAGACAUUGAGAGCUCUGCUCUAAAGCUCUCUUAUAGUAUAUUCUUUUUCAGCCAGAAAAACCACUUAAAAUAAAAUAGCCUUUUUCUUUGAAAGCUAAUAAUCACUAGCUAGUUAAUGUAAUUAACUCCUCAUUAAUGUACAAUUAAGAUGCCUGCCACUCCAUAACUAGCUAACAAUCAGGAGUAAAUGAGAAUAUACCUGAUGAGCCUUUCCAAACCUCCAGGGUCAGAAUUAGACUACUUCUACCUCUAGACUUGUCAAAAUUCUUUAAGAACCCUAUUCAAAGACUUUUCCAAAAACAUAAGGGAGAAUAUCUUAUUUGUACAUAUGCGUAUAAAUCCUGUUUCCCAUAGAUAUGGAAGCAAUGGACACCGGUCAAGAAUUUCCAGUCAAGCAUUUCUGCUCCCAAAGACUUGAGGACAAUGUAGAGCCCUAGAUGGAUGCAGCCUGGGCUGAUCCUUAACCCAUCUAAUCCACCAGGCACACAGAGAAUUGGCUUGCCUGUGGUUCUAAAGCAACCAAAUGGUAAAACUGGGAUGGGAACUCUGAGUUCCACAUUCCAAGUCUCAUUCUCUUCCUGCGCUACUCUACCAACAUUCGGAGGACUCUCUGAAAUCAAAGGAUGCUUAACUGAAUAUAUGUUAAAUCAAGAGUCUGUAGUGGAACUCUGUCUUUCUCAACAUCCUCACUCAUGUCAUGAUUUGCUCUUGGAGCCAGGAUAAUCCUAAGGCAGAACAAGAAGGCAGAAAUCUUAAGAGUUUGGUGUGUGGGGGGGAUGCUGAACUAUAUUUGCAUUUGUUUUAAAACAUGAAUGAAAUGCAAAUACAAGUCAACUUCUAAGGUGACAACAACAUUAAGCAAAAAUCAAUCACAAGACUAAAAGAGAUCUCCCCAGAAGUUUACAGACAUCAAAAUUAACAGGGAACUGGAGUUCCUA
Sus scrofa (pig) is the source of this 4355-nucleotide non-coding RNA. Lineage: Eukaryota; Metazoa; Chordata; Mammalia; Artiodactyla; Suidae. The record is from RefSeq and is a predicted model, not a curated record.